UUCUGGGAAGAUUCAUCGGUAUGGGAUGGGGUCGCGUCCUAUCAGCUUGAUGGCGGGGUAACGGCCCACCAUGGCUUCGACGGGUAGCCGGCCUGAGAGGGCGACCGGCCACAUUGGGACUGAGAUACGGCCCAGACUCCUACGGGAGGCAGCAGUGGGGAAUAUUGCACAAUGGGCGCAAGCCUGAUGCAGCGACGCCGCGUGCGGGAUGACGGCCUUCGGGUUGUAAACCGCUUUUGACUGGGAGCAAGCCCUUCGGGGUGAGUGUACCUUUCGAAUAAGCACCGGCUAACUACGUGCCAGCAGCCGCGGUAAUACGUAGGGUGCAAGCGUUAUCCGGAAUUAUUGGGCGUAAAGGGCUCGUAGGCGGUUCGUCGCGUCCGGUGUGAAAGUCCAUCGCUUAACGGUGGAUCCGCGCCGGGUACGGGCGGGCUUGAGUGCGGUAGGGGAGACUGGAAUUCCCGGUGUAACGGUGG
Molecule: ribosomal RNA, 476 nt
Filed under: uncultured Bifidobacterium sp.
Lineage: Bacteria; Bacillati; Actinomycetota; Actinomycetes; Bifidobacteriales; Bifidobacteriaceae
Description: bacterial SSU rRNA
Rfam family: Bacterial small subunit ribosomal RNA
Source: RNAcentral